RNAcentral lists this ribosomal RNA (872 nucleotides) under Starmerella etchellsii. RNAcentral describes it as "LSU rRNA". The stretch from base 111 to 872 matches the Rfam family "Eukaryotic large subunit ribosomal RNA", at positions 1 to 880 of the family's 3401-position model. The record is from RNAcentral. Lineage: Eukaryota; Fungi; Ascomycota; Dipodascomycetes; Dipodascales; Trichomonascaceae.
CCGAACUUUCUCUCUAAUCUACUUCUUGUGGAUUACGAGGUGUUGCUCCUUAUUGGAGUCAAAGAAAUGGAACAGCACACGUUAAUAACUCUGUGCAGUAAUAUUUUUUAUGGCCCCCAAUCAAGCAAGAUUACCCGCCGAACUUAAGCAUAUCAAUAAGCGGAGGAAAAGAAACCAACAGGGAUUGCCCUAGUAACGGCGAGUGAACAGGCAAGAGCUCAGAUUUGAAAGCCUUUUUGGCAUUGUAUUCUGAAGUCAGUUUCCUGAGUAUCGGUGUUUAAGUCUUCUGGAAAGGAGCGCCAUGGAGGGUGAUAGCCCCGUACGGCACCUCACUCAUUGUAGGAUUCUGACGUGGAGUCGAGUUGUUUGGGAAUGCAGCUCAAAAGGGUGGUAUGCUCCAUCUAAAGCUAAAUAUCUGUGAGAGACCGAUAGCGAACAAGUACUGUGAAGGAAAGAUGAAAAGAACUUUGAAAAGAGAGUGAAAAAGUACGUGAAAUUGUUGAAAUGGAAGGAUAUGCCGCUAACAAUGUAGAGCCGUGUUUGGGGGGAAGACAAAAGCUGAAGAAUGUAUCUCUUUUAGGGAAUUAUAACUUCAGUCAAUAUUCCCAUCCGGGCGCGAGGACCUCAGGCUCUACUAAAUGGUGGUCUAUCACCCGUCUUGAAACACGGACCAAGGAGUCUAUUGCCUGCGCGAGUAUUUGGGUGGCAAACCCAUAUGCGAAGUGAAAGCGAGUGGUUCCAACCUUCGGGGGCAGAAUCAGCCGACCGUUCAUAGGAGCGGAUUGAGUGGAGCGCAAGUGAUGGGACCCGAAAGAUGGUGAACUAUGCCUGAAUAGGGUGAAGCCAGAGGAAACUCUGGUGGAGGCUCGCAG